AGAGCGAACGCUGGCGGCAGGCUUAACACAUGCAAGUCGAGCGGGCGUAGCAAUACGUCAGCGGCAGACGGGUGAGUAACGCGUGGGAACAUACCUUUUGGUUCGGAACAACACAGGGAAACUUGUGCUAAUACCGGAUAAGCCCUUACGGGGAAAGAUUUAUCGCCGAAAGAUUGGCCCGCGUCUGAUUAGCUAGUUGGUGAGGUAACGGCUCACCAAGGCGACGAUCAGUAGCUGGUCUGAGAGGAUGAUCAGCCACAUUGGGACUGAGACACGGCCCAAACUCCUACGGGAGGCCAGCAGUGGGGAAUAUUGGACAAUGGGCGCAAGCCUGAUCCAGCCAUGCCGCGUGAGUGAUGAAGGCCCUAGGGUGUAAAGCUCUUUUGUGCGGGAAGAUAAUGACGGUACCGCAAGAUAAGCCCCGGCUAACUUCGCGCCAGCAGCCGC
RNAcentral lists this ribosomal RNA (447 nucleotides) under uncultured bacterium. RNAcentral describes it as "SSU rRNA". It matches the Rfam family "Bacterial small subunit ribosomal RNA", at positions 26 to 518 of the family's 1533-position model. The record is from RNAcentral.